GUCUUUUUGAUAAAUAAUUUAAAGUCUAAUCUGCCCCCUGAAAAUAAUUUAAAGGGCUGCGGUAUUUUAACCGUACAAAGGUAGCAUAAUAAUUAGGUUUUUGAUUGAAAUCUAGAAUGAAUGAUUGGACGAGAUACAAGCUGUUUUAUAAUAAUUAAUUAAAACUUAAUUUUUUAGUCAAAAAGCUAAAAUUUUAUUAAAAGACGAGAAGACCCUAUAAAUCUUUAUAACAAGUUUAUUUUAGUAGAUUAUUUUAUUAAUAUUUUAAUUUUAAUAAUUAGUUAUUUUAUUGGGGUGAUAUAAAAAUUUAAAUAACUUUUUAAUAUUAAAUUUCUUAAAUUAAAGAUUUAAAUAUUAUGAUCUAUUAUUAAUAAUUCAAAGAAUAAGAUACUUUAGGGAUAACAGCGUAAUUUUAAUUUUAAGUUCUCAUUAAAAUUAAAGAUUGCGACCUCGAUGUUGGAUUAAAAUUUAAUUUAAAUGCAAAGGUUUAAAAAUUAAGUCUGUUCGACUUUUGAAAUUUU
This 521-nucleotide ribosomal RNA is filed under the name Hydatophylax festivus. Its description in RNAcentral is "partial 16S ribosomal RNA". The record is from RNAcentral. Lineage: Eukaryota; Metazoa; Arthropoda; Insecta; Trichoptera; Limnephilidae.